CGGACGGGUGAGUAAUGCUUAGGAAUCUGCCUAUUAGUGGGGGACAACAUUCCGAAAGGAAUGCUAAUACCGCAUACGCCCUACGGGGGAAAGCAGGGGAUCUUCGGACCUUGCGCUAAUAGAUGAGCCUAAGUCAGAUUAGCUAGUUGGUGGGGUAAAGGCCUACCAAGGCGACGAUCUGUAGCGGGUCUGAGAGGAUGAUCAGCCACACUGGGACUGAGACACGGCCCAG
Molecule: ribosomal RNA, 232 nt
Filed under: uncultured Pseudomonadales bacterium
Lineage: Bacteria; Pseudomonadati; Pseudomonadota; Gammaproteobacteria; Pseudomonadales
Description: partial 16S ribosomal RNA
Rfam family: Bacterial small subunit ribosomal RNA
Source: RNAcentral